RNAcentral lists this ribosomal RNA (506 nucleotides) under uncultured bacterium. RNAcentral describes it as "partial 16S ribosomal RNA". It matches the Rfam family "Bacterial small subunit ribosomal RNA", at positions 28 to 523 of the family's 1533-position model. The record is from RNAcentral.
GAUGAACGCUAGCUACAGGCUUAACACAUGCAAGUCGAGGGGUAACGAGAGGGAAGCUUGCUUUCCUUGUCGACGACCGGCGCACGGGUGAGUAACGCGUAUCCAACCUGCCCCCAACUAGGGAAUAACCUUGCGAAAGUAAGACUAAUACCCUAUAAUUUCCUCAGAUGACAUCUGACGAGGAAUAAAGAUUUAUCGGUUGUGGAUGGGGAUGCGUCUGAUUAGCUUGUUGGCGGGGUAACGGCCCACCAAGGCAACGAUCAGUAGGGGUUCUGAGAGGAAGGUCCCCCACAUUGGAACUGAGACACGGUCCAAACUCCUACGGGAGGCAGCAGUGAGGAAUAUUGGUCAAUGGGUGGAAGCUUGAACCAGCCAAGUAGCGUGCAGGAUGACGGCCCUAUGGGUUGUAAACUGCUUUUAUACAGGAAUAAAGUUAGCCACGUGUGGUUAUUUGUAGGUACUGUAUGAAUAAGGACCGGCUAAUUCCGUGCCAGCCGCCGCAGUAA